This 253-nucleotide ribosomal RNA is filed under the name uncultured bacterium. RNAcentral's name for it is "partial 16S ribosomal RNA". It matches the Rfam family "Bacterial small subunit ribosomal RNA", at positions 524 to 776 of the family's 1533-position model. The record is from RNAcentral.
UACGGGGGGGGCAAGCGUUGCUCGGAAUUACUGGGCGUAAAGGGCUCGUAGGUGGCCAACUAAGUCAGACGUGAAAUCCCUCGGCUUAACCGGGGAACUGCGUCUGAUACUGGAUGGCUUGAGUUUGGGAGAGGGACGCGGAAUUCCAGGUGUAGCGGUGAAAUGCGUAGAUAUCUGGAGGAAUACCGGUGGCGAAGGCGGCAUCCUGGACCGGCAUUGACGCUGAUGAGCGAAAGCUAGGGGAGCAAACGGG